CGUCUCUAACUAUGGUGAGACGCGGCAGACGGCUCAGUAACACGUGGCUAACCUACCCUCAGGACGGGGACAAACCCGGGAAACUGGGGCUAAUACCCGAUAAGCGAGGAUGCCUGGAAUGGUUUUUCACCAAAAGGGCUUUGGAAGCAUGCUUUCUAACGUCGCCUGGGGAUGGGGCCGCGUCCGAUCAGGUUGUUGGUGAGGUAACGGCUCACCAAGCCUAUAACCGGUACGGGCCGUGAGAGCG
This 247-nucleotide ribosomal RNA is filed under the name uncultured archaeon. RNAcentral describes it as "partial 16S ribosomal RNA". It matches the Rfam family "Archaeal small subunit ribosomal RNA", at positions 63 to 284 of the family's 1478-position model. The record is from RNAcentral.